UGGUGGGUUGCCUUGUCAGGUUGAUUCCGGUAACGAACGAGACCUCAGCCUGCUAACUAGUCACGGUUGGUUUUACCAGCCGGCCGACUUCUUAGAGGGACUAUUGGCGACUAGCCAAUGGAAGUGUGAGGCAAUAACA
Molecule: ribosomal RNA, 139 nt
Filed under: uncultured eukaryote
Lineage: Eukaryota
Description: partial 18S ribosomal RNA
Rfam family: Eukaryotic small subunit ribosomal RNA
Source: RNAcentral